This 460-nucleotide ribosomal RNA is filed under the name uncultured bacterium. RNAcentral's name for it is "partial 16S ribosomal RNA". It matches the Rfam family "Bacterial small subunit ribosomal RNA", at positions 338 to 795 of the family's 1533-position model. The record is from RNAcentral.
CCUACGGGUGGCAGCAGUGAGGAAUAUUUGUCAAUGGGCGCGAGCCUGAACCAGCCAAGUAGCGUGAAGGAUGACUGCCCUACGGGUUGUAAACUUCUUUUAUAAAGGAAUCAAUUGAUGCACUUUUGCCUUUUUGUAUGUACUUUAUGAAUCAGGAUCUGCUAACUCCGUUCCAGCAGCCGCGUUAAUACGGAGGAUCCGAGCGUUAUCCGGAUUUUUUGGGUUUAAAGGGAGCGUAGAUGGGUUGUUAAGUCAGUUGUGAAAGUUUGCGGCUCAACAGUAAAAUUGAAAUUGAUACUGGCAGUCUUGAGUACAGUUGAGGUAGGCGGAAUUCGUGGUGUAGCGGUGAAAUGCUUAGAUAUCACGAAGAACUCCGAUUGCGAAGGCAGCUUACUAAACUGCCACUGACAUUGAUGCUCGAAAGUGUGGGUAUCAAACAGGAUUAGAUACCCUUGUAGUC